UUUGAGACAGAGUCUUGCUCUGUCACCCAGGCUGGAGUGCAGUGGCGCGAUCUCAGCUCACUGCAAGCUCUGCCUCCCAGGUGCAGGCCAUUCUCCAGUCUCAGUCUCCCAAGUAGCUGGGACUACAGGUGCCCACCACCGCACCCAGCUAAUUUUUUGUAUUUUUUAGUAGAGACGAGGUUUCACCGUGUCAGCCAGGAUGGUCUCGAUCUCCUGACCUCGUGAUCUGCCCACCUCUGCCUCCCAAAGUGCUGGGAUUACAGGCGUGAGCCACCGCGCCCGGCCAAUUUUUGUAUUUUUUGUGGAGAUGGGAUUUCGCCAUGUUGGCCAGGCUGUUCUUGAACUCCUGGGCCCAAGUAAUCUGCCUGCCUCGGCCUCCCAAAGUGUUGGGAUUACAGGCGUGAGCCACCACGCCCAGCCAUUCCAUUUACUUUGGGCUUUCCUUCACAUCAGAAUGCACGUGUGGGCAGCUCCCUAAGCACCCACCCCUUAGUCGUUUACACAGAGCUCAUGCAGUGGACUCUGGGAGCCUCCUUUCCGCCUGUAAAAUGGAGGGUUCCGUUGUCAAUGUCACAGGGUGGCUGUGGAGACUAAUUGAGAUCAUCUGUGUGACUCCCGAAGCCCGCUGUAAAUGUAGCUGUUCCCAUUAUGUGACAGUGACCUUCUCACGUGUGGCACAGCCACCAAUGGCACAGUUGAAGGCCUGGGAGUUCUCAAGGGGACUAGGCCUUGCACUGAGCAGAGCAAGCAGGGCAUGCUUCAGGAGAGGUGGUUAAGGUCCCUCUUGGGAGACCAUUCCCCUCCAACUAGAAAGCGAAAGCUACCUCUCAGUCUGGGCCUGUGGCAGGUUGUGGCUCACUCUAAGAGUUCGUGGAACAGGAGGGGAAGACACUUUACCCAAACAUUCCAACAGAUGCGUUAGGUGUGUUGUUAUCCCCAUUUGUCAGAGGAGGAAACUGAGGCACGAGGGGGUAUACAAGUAUACCAAAGAGCACCCAGCUAUGAAAGGGGAGGCAGGGAUUUGAACCUAUAUGCCAUUUAUUUAGGUAAAAGCAAGGGCAGCCCCUUCUGUGGAGAUGCACAAACCUACGUGUGUGAAUAUCUGAUCCAGUGCUCCCUCCUCCAGUGCCGUGGCUGCCUGGCUCCUUCCCCAGGCCCCAGCCCUCCCCACAUCCAGAAAUCAUAAAGGCACAACAGGGGCAUCCAGGACCCUGCUAUGAUGGUGGAUGAAGGCCUAGACCAGGAGCCCAAGGCCGGGCUGGUGUCCCUUGCUGUGAUCUUGUGACUGCCUUCUCACAUGGGGUGGGGGACAGCGGCUGGGAGCCGGAGUCCAGGCUGGGGAGGCAGGCCUGCCGUUUGACACGUCCCCGUCCAUUCCAUGCGGACUUCCUGGGAAUGACCAGAGGCCUCUAUGCAGUUCCUGUUCCCAGCGGCUCACAGUCGCCAGGCCCAGGGAGACAAAACGUCCCUGAAUGCGGUGGGGCAGGGAACAAUAUGGGGCGGGCGGAGGAGGGCCACAGGAAGUGUGUUAGGGACAGCCGGAGAGCUGGCGUGGGGCUGGGGGUGACUCAGGGACUUGUGACUUGAUAAGGUACGAUGACUCUGAAGGAAAACAGCCGGAGUCCAGGGAGGGCGCCGAAAUGGUGGACAGGACGGGGUUUCUGGCGCCUGUGCGGACCUGAGUUCUUGAGUCCCCAUAGGUCUCCCUGCAGCAAAGAACCUUAAACAAUAUCCAACCAACCACGUUACAGUCCCUGGCUCUCUCAGGUAGGGAUGAUGAUCCUGACCUCACUAAAGAGGGGACUGAGGGUCAGAGAAGUGAGAUGACAUUCACCAUUCCAAGAUCACACAGGAAUGUGCAAUGGUGCCAGGAUACACAGCAGGCCAGUCUCAUUCCAGGGCAUGUGUACCCAGCUAGGCUUCCUGGCACUCAACCCUGACCCUUGUGGUCCCCCAAAACUAGACACUCCUGUAUUUGAGCCCAAAGCCUCUUACUGGGUCUUCACAUCCUUGCUUGCAAAGCCAGAGCCCCCAUCAUACCCCACCAAAGACCCCCAACGAACAGGACCAUUUUGCCAUUAGAAUUUAGAGUUUAAGAAAAUGUUUGAAACUGGGGAAAAGAACACCUCUUAGCUCCCAAAUAUAACAAGAAAACUGCAAGUUAAAUUAAUCAUCACAGUUAAAUCACAUUCACGAUGGGAUCUGUGGGUUUAAUAUGCCUGAUAUGGAGUGGGGAUCUCAAAACUAAGAGCGCCAGGGUGGAGGAGAGACUCCCAACAGCCCUGGCCAGGCCUGGCCCUGCAGCCUGAGCGUUAACACCAGCAGUAGUGUGCUAGGACUGGGAGGCUCCACCAGCUAUUAUCCAAUCAAGUCACUUCUCAGAGCCUCAGUUUCUUUAUUAGUCAAAUGGGACCAUAGUUAGCUAAUACUGGGUUAAUGGGAGGGUUAAAUACAAUAAUGUGUGCAGGGAGCCAGGCCCCAUAGUCAGAGCUCAGCUAUUGUUCUUGCCUCCUCAGGCGGCCCUGCCCAAUUUCAGGAAGUCCUUUUUGGCUGGAAGCUUCUCAGGAUGAAAGAAUGUUGGAGAGAGAAGGCCGUUAGAAAGAAAGCAGAGCCCACCUCCGCACCCCGACCCCACCAGAGUGCUGGCAGCAGAGUCCAGGUGGGGUCUCCCUAUGUUGCCCAGGCUGAACUCCAACUCCUGGGCUCAAGCAAUGCUCCCAUCUCAGUCUCCCAAAGUGCUGAGAUUACAGUCUCGCUCUGUUGCCCAGUCUGGAGUACAGGUAUGAUCUUGGCUUACUGCAAGCUCCGCCUCCCAGGUUCAAGCAAUUCUUCUGCCUCAGUCUCCCAAGCAGCUGGGAUUAUAGGAAGGGGCCACAAGCCAAGGAAUGCAGGCUGCCCAUGGAAGCUGGUCAAGGCAAGAAAACGGAUUCUCUCCUAGAGCCUCCUGAAAGGCAUGAAGCCCUGCCAAUGCUCUGAUUUUAACCUGAUGACACCCAUUUUGGACUUCAGACUCCCAGAACUGUAGGAAAGAUAAUAAAUAUGUGUUGUUUG
RNAcentral lists this long non-coding RNA (3051 nucleotides) under Homo sapiens (human). RNAcentral's name for it is "non-protein coding LINC01169:3". The record is from RNAcentral. Lineage: Eukaryota; Metazoa; Chordata; Mammalia; Primates; Hominidae.